CCUACGGGUGGCUGCAGUGGGGAAUCUUGCGCAAUGGCCGAAAGGCUGACGCAGCGACGCCGCGUGUGGGAGGAAGCCCUUCGGGGUGUAAACCACUGUUGCCCGGGACGAACAUCCCCUUUCGAGGGGACUGACGGUACCGGGUGAGGAAGCACCGGCUAACUCCGUGCCAGCAGCCGCGGUAAUACGGAGGGUGCGAGCGUUGUCCGGAAUCACUGGGCGUAAAGGGCGCGUAGGCGGCUCGUUAAGUCACUGGUGAAAUCCCGCUGCUCAACGGCGGGGCUGCCGGUGAGACUGGCGAGCUAGAGCACUGUAGGGGCAGAUGGAAUUCCGGGUGUAGCGGUGGAAUGCGUAGAGAUCCGGAAGAACACCGGUGGCGAAGGCGGUCUGCUGGGCAGUUGCUGACGCUGAGGCGCGACAGCGUGGGGAGCAAACAGGAUUAGAUACCCUAGUAGUCC
RNAcentral lists this ribosomal RNA (458 nucleotides) under Escherichia coli. RNAcentral describes it as "bacterial SSU rRNA". It matches the Rfam family "Bacterial small subunit ribosomal RNA", at positions 338 to 796 of the family's 1533-position model. The record is from RNAcentral. Lineage: Bacteria; Pseudomonadati; Pseudomonadota; Gammaproteobacteria; Enterobacterales; Enterobacteriaceae.